RNAcentral lists this ribosomal RNA (468 nucleotides) under uncultured bacterium. RNAcentral's name for it is "partial 16S ribosomal RNA". It matches the Rfam family "Bacterial small subunit ribosomal RNA", at positions 28 to 507 of the family's 1533-position model. The record is from RNAcentral.
GACGAACGCUGGCGGCGUGCUUAACACAUGCAAGUCGAACGGAAAGGCCCUGCUUUUGUGGGGUGCUCGAGUGGCGAACGGGUGAGUAACACGUGAGUAACCUGCCCUUGACUUUGGGAUAACUUCAGGAAACUGGGGCUAAUACCGGAUAGGAGCUCCUGCUGCAUGGUGGGGGUUGGAAAGUUUCGGCGGUUGGGGAUGGACUCGCGGCUUAUCAGCUUGUUUGUGGGGUAGUGGCUUACCAAGGCUUUGACGGGUAGCCGGCCUGAGAGGGUGACCGGCAACAUUGGGACUGAGAUACGGCACAGAAUCCAACGGGAGGCAGCAGUGGGGAAUAUUGCAGAAUGGGCGGAAGCCUGAUGCAGAAACGCCGCGUGCGGGAUGACGGCCUUCGGGUUGUAAACCGAUUUCGCAUGUGACGAAGCGUGAGUGACGGUAAUGGGUAAAGAAGCACCGGCUAACUACGUG